GGGUGCGGCGAUGCACGCCGCAGGAACGGGAUGGUCGGGCCGCCAUCC
This 48-nucleotide non-coding RNA is filed under the name Myxococcus fulvus. RNAcentral's name for it is "Li+-I sequence". It matches the Rfam family "nhaA-I RNA". Rfam says of the family: Acidobacteria, Alphaproteobacteria, Betaproteobacteria and Gammaproteobacteria, Verrucomicrobia, cand. division NC10. Downstream gene Lineage: Bacteria; Pseudomonadati; Myxococcota; Myxococcia; Myxococcales; Myxococcaceae. The record is from RNAcentral. RNAcentral also lists the same sequence under 2 other names.